Molecule: ribosomal RNA, 477 nt
Filed under: Fusarium culmorum
Lineage: Eukaryota; Fungi; Ascomycota; Sordariomycetes; Hypocreales; Nectriaceae
Description: eukaryotic LSU rRNA
Rfam family: 5.8S ribosomal RNA (bases 124-277)
Source: RNAcentral
UGUGACAUACCUUAUGUUGCCUCGGCGGAUCAGCCCGCGCCCCGUAAAAAGGGACGGCCCGCCGCAGGAACCCUAAACUCUGUUUUUAGUGGAACUUCUGAGUAUAAAAAACAAAUAAAUCAAAACUUUCAACAACGGAUCUCUUGGUUCUGGCAUCGAUGAAGAACGCAGCAAAAUGCGAUAAGUAAUGUGAAUUGCAGAAUUCAGUGAAUCAUCGAAUCUUUGAACGCACAUUGCGCCCGCCAGUAUUCUGGCGGGCAUGCCUGUUCGAGCGUCAUUUCAACCCUCAAGCCCAGCUUGGUGUUGGGAGCUGCAGUCCUGCUGCACUCCCCAAAUACAUUGGCGGUCACGUCGAGCUUCCAUAGCGUAGUAAUUUACACAUCGUUACUGGUAAUCGUCGCGGCCACGCCGUUAAACCCCAACUUCUGAAUGUUGACCUCGGAUCAGGUAGGAAUACCCGCUGAACUUAAGCAUAUC